GAUGAACGCUGGCGGCGUGCCUAAUACAUGCAAGUCGAGCGAACAGACGAGGAGCUUGCUCCUCUGACGUUAGCGGCGGACGGGUGAGUAACACGUGGAUAACCUACCUAUAAGACUGGGAUAACUUCGGGAAACCGGAGCUAAUACCGGAUAAUAUAUUGAACCGCAUGGUUCAAUAGUGAAAGUCGGUUUUGCUGUCACUUAUAGAUGGAUCCGCGCCGCAUUAGCUAGUUGGUAAGGUAACGGGUUACCAAGGCAACGAUGCGUAGCCGAGCUGAGGGGGUGAUCGGCCACACGAGAACUGAGACACCGUCCAGGCGCCUAAGGGAGGCAGCAGUAGGGAAUGUGCCGCAAUGGGCGAAAGCAUGACGGAGCAACGCCGCGUGAGUGAUGAAGGUCUUGGGAGCGUAAAACUCUGUUAUUAGGGAAGAACAAAUGUCUAAGUAACUAUGCACGUCUUGACGGUAACUAAUCAGAAAGCCACGGCUAACUACGUG
Molecule: ribosomal RNA, 497 nt
Filed under: uncultured bacterium
Lineage: Bacteria
Description: partial 16S ribosomal RNA
Rfam family: Bacterial small subunit ribosomal RNA
Source: RNAcentral